AGCAUAUAAGUAAGCGGGGGAAAAGGAACUAAAUAGGAUUCCCUCAGUAAUGGCGAAUGAACAGGGAUGAACUCAGGCUGGAAACCGAUACAUCUGUGUCGGGCUGUAGCCUGCAGGCGUAGCGCUGUCGGCGGCUCGAGCGCAAGCCUCUUGGAAUAGAGCGUGUGCCCGGGUGAGAAUCCUGCAUUUCGCUCGAUGUCCGCUGUCCACAGUGCUUGUCCUGAGAGUCACGCUCCUCGGAAUAGGAGCGUAAAUCAGGUGGUAGGCUUCAUCCAAAGCUAAAUAGAAGCUCGAGACCAAUAGCAAACAAGUACCAUGAGGGAAAGAUGAAAAGGACUUUGGAAAGAGAGUUAAAAGUGUUUGAAAUUGCUGAGAGCGAAGCGAACGGAGCCACAUGUCGUGCUGAGAUUGCUGUGGGUCUUUGUGUGCCUUGAGCAUGUAAGCGCAAGCUGACUGCUUAUGUGUGAGCAUUUGCCCGCAGUGUUUCUCAGCAUGCGAGUCAUUAGCCACAUUUGUUUGAGGAUGGCCUUCAGCUCACAUGGUACACUUGUUAGUGUUCCUCUGUGCGGUGUGGGACUCAGACAGGUGUGGCUUGUGACC
RNAcentral lists this ribosomal RNA (600 nucleotides) under Symbiodinium sp. B1. RNAcentral's name for it is "eukaryotic LSU rRNA". It matches the Rfam family "Eukaryotic large subunit ribosomal RNA", at positions 37 to 600 of the family's 3401-position model. The record is from RNAcentral. Lineage: Eukaryota; Dinophyceae; Suessiales; Symbiodiniaceae.